AUGACAAAGGCAAACCGUCCGAAAGGGCGGGACGCAAAGCCAGGGGGCUAAGGCGCGAGCGCUAAGCCGGCCCGGCUGCCA
Molecule: non-coding RNA, 81 nt
Filed under: chicken gut metagenome
Description: Cyclic di-GMP-I riboswitch
Rfam family: c-di-GMP-I riboswitch aptamer
About the family: GEMM was predicted in a large-scale screen for bacterial structured RNA regulatory elements. Genes associated with GEMM are involved in a diverse array of functions, including chemotaxis regulation, signal transduction, secretion and chitin.
Source: RNAcentral